UGACUUCAGUUAGGGUUCAAUAGUUGC
This 27-nucleotide non-coding RNA is filed under the name Homo sapiens (human). The record is from RNAcentral. Lineage: Eukaryota; Metazoa; Chordata; Mammalia; Primates; Hominidae.